Molecule: long non-coding RNA, 231 nt
Filed under: Mytilus galloprovincialis (Mediterranean mussel)
Lineage: Eukaryota; Metazoa; Mollusca; Bivalvia; Mytilida; Mytilidae
Source: RNAcentral
GAAAAAGUUUAAUUGUGGAACUGUGAUUUUUUUCAUGAUUAUAGCCCAAAAAUAGGUAAAAAUCGAUGAAAAUGGGAAAAUCAUCAAAAUUGGGCAUUUUCAAAGGGCCGUAGCAAAAAAAGAACUGCACCACCAUAUGAUUUUUUCUCCACCAAUUAUUUUGUUAGUCUUAUAAACCCAAAAAUCAGGUUAAGAAAAAAAGUUUAAUUCUAGAAAUUUUUGGCUCCUCAG